CUACGGGAGGCAGCAGUGAGGAAUAUUGGGCAAUGGGGGAAACCCUGACCCAGCAAUGCCGCGUGUGUGAAGAAGGCCUUCGGGUUGUAAAGCACUUUCAGUAGGGAAGAAAAGCCGAGGGAUAAUACCCCUCUGUGCUGACGUUACCUACAGAAGAAGCACCGGCUAACUCCGUGCCAGCAGCCGCGGUAAUACGGAGGGUGCGAGCGUUAAUCGGAAUUACUGGGCGUAAAGGGCGCGUAGGCGGUUUGGUUAGUCAGAUGUGAAAGCCCCGGGCUUAACCUGGGAAUUGCAUUUGAUACUGCCAGGCUCGAGUGUGGUAGAGGGAAGCGGAAUUCCGGGUGUAGCGGUGAAAUGCGUAGAUAUCCGGAGGAACACCAGUGGCGAAGGCGGCUUCCUGGACCAACACUGACGCUGAGGCGCGAAAGCGUGGGGAGCAAACAGGAUUAGAUACCCUUGUAGUCC
RNAcentral lists this ribosomal RNA (465 nucleotides) under uncultured bacterium. Its description in RNAcentral is "bacterial SSU rRNA". It matches the Rfam family "Bacterial small subunit ribosomal RNA", at positions 339 to 796 of the family's 1533-position model. The record is from RNAcentral.